UGGAGAGAAAAGUUCUGCAGCUUCCCACAACAGAACUGGUUGUCUAUGGCAACACAACAAGCGCUCAACUGCGCAGCCGUGGGGAUGUCCGUGUCCGAGGGCAGAGGUGGGCCUCGAACAUGAAAAUUUCAACUGUGGGCCCCAAGUUCGAAAGGGUUGGGAACCCCUGGCUUACAUCAUUGGGCCUUCAAUUUUCUGCUCUCUUAAUAGCUAGGACCCAAUAAAUCUCUCUUUUGUGCUGUAGCUUAUAACA
Engraulis encrasicolus (European anchovy) is the source of this 253-nucleotide long non-coding RNA. RefSeq lists it as uncharacterized. Lineage: Eukaryota; Metazoa; Chordata; Actinopteri; Clupeiformes; Engraulidae. The transcript has 2 exons. The record is from RefSeq and is a predicted model, not a curated record.